CAGUAGCCGCGGUAAUACGAAGGGGGCUAGCGUUGCUCGGAAUGACUGGGCGUAAAGGGCGCGUAGGCGGCUGUUACAGUCAGACGUGAAAUUCCUGGGCUCAACCUGGGGGCUGCGUUUGAUACGUGAUGGCUUGAGUUCGGAAGAGGGUCGUGGAAUUCCCAGUGUAGAGGUGAAAUUCGUAGAUAUUGGGAGGAACAUCAGUGGCGAAGGCGGCCAUCUGGGACAACACUGACGCUGAGGCACGAAAGCGUGGGGAGCAAACAGGAUUAGAUACCCCUGUAGUCCCUGUCUCUUAUAC
This 301-nucleotide ribosomal RNA is filed under the name uncultured bacterium. Its description in RNAcentral is "partial 16S ribosomal RNA". It matches the Rfam family "Bacterial small subunit ribosomal RNA", at positions 509 to 807 of the family's 1533-position model. The record is from RNAcentral.